Molecule: ribosomal RNA, 490 nt
Filed under: uncultured bacterium
Lineage: Bacteria
Description: partial 16S ribosomal RNA
Rfam family: Bacterial small subunit ribosomal RNA
Source: RNAcentral
AUUGAACGCUGGCGGCAGGCCUAACACAUGCAAGUCGAACGGUAACAGGAAGAAGCUUGCUUCUUUGCUGACGAGUGGCGGACGGGUGAGUAAUGUCUGGGAAACUGCCUGAUGGAGGGGGAUAACUACUGGAAACGGUAGCUAAUACCGCAUAACGUCGCAAGACCAAAAAGGGGGACCUUCGGGCCUCUUGCCAUCGGAUGUGCCCAGAUGGGAUUAGCUAGUAGGUGGGGUAACGGCUCACCUAGGCGACGCUCCCUAGCUGGUCUGAGAGGAUGACCAGCCACACUGGAACUGAGACACGGUCCAGACUCCUACGGGAGGCAGCAGUGGGGAAUAUUGCACAAUGGGCGCAAGCCUGAUGCAGCCAUGCCGCGUGUAUGAAGAAGGCCUUCGGGUUGUAAAGUACUUUCAGCGGGGAGGAAGGGAGUAAAGUUAAUACCUUUGCUCAUUGACGUUACCCGCAGAAGAAGCACCGGCUAACUCCGUG